Molecule: ribosomal RNA, 720 nt
Filed under: Paenibacillus sp. ET3s61
Lineage: Bacteria; Bacillati; Bacillota; Bacilli; Caryophanales; Paenibacillaceae
Description: bacterial SSU rRNA
Rfam family: Bacterial small subunit ribosomal RNA
Source: RNAcentral
GUCGAGCGGAGUUAUUCCUUCGGGGAUAACUUAGCGGCGGACGGGUGAGUAACACGUAGGCAACCUGCCUGUAAGAUCGGGAUAACUACCGGAAACGGUAGCUAAGACCGAAUAAUCAGCUUGAUCGCAUGAUCGGGCUGGGAAAAGCGGAGCAAUCUGCUACUUACAGAUGGGCCUGCGGCGCAUUAGCUAGUUGGUGAGGUAACGGCUCACCAAGGCGACGAUGCGUAGCCGACCUGAGAGGGUGAACGGCCACACUGGGACUGAGACACGGCCCAGACUCCUACGGGAGGCAGCAGUAGGGAAUCUUCCGCAAUGGACGCAAGUCUGACGGAGCAACGCCGCGUGAGUGAUGAAGGUUUUCGGAUCGUAAAGCUCUGUUGCCAGGGAAGAACGCUUAGGAGAGUAACUGCUCUUAAGGUGACGGUACCUGAGAAGAAAGCCCCGGCUAACUACGUGCCAGCAGCCGCGGUAAUACGUAGGGGGCAAGCGUUGUCCGGAAUUAUUGGGCGUAAAGCGCGCGCAGGCGGCUUUGUAAGUCUGGUGUUUAAACCUAGGGCUCAACCCUGGGUCGCAUUGGAAACUGCAAGGCUUGAGUGCAGAAGAGGAGAGUGGAAUUCCACGUGUAGCGGUGAAAUGCGUAGAGAUGUGGAGGAACACCAGUGGCGAAGGCGACUCUCUGGGCUGUAACUGACGCUGAGGCGCGAAAGCGUGGGGAGC